AUGUCUGUAUGAAAUUAAAUAUUUAGUCUGGCCUGUCCACUGAGAUUUUUUAAAGGGCUGCGGUAAUUUGACCGUGCGAAGGUAGCAUAAUCAAUAGUCUUUUAAUUGGAGGCUUGAAUGAAAGGUUUGACGGAGGAAAAGCUGUCUCUUUAAUUUGAUUUGAAUUUAACAUUUGUGUGAAAAGGCAUUAAUGAUUUAGAGGGACGAUAAGACCCUAUAAAAUUUUACAUAUAGAAAUUAUUUGGUAGAACUGUUGUUAUAAAUUAUUAAAUUAAUUAAGUAUGUUUUGCUGGGGCGGCAAAAAUAUAAAUUUAACUGUUUUAAAUAUUAAAUACUUGUAAGUAGAAGAUGAUCCUUAAUUUGAGAAGUAGAGUAAGUUACUUUAGGGAUAACAGCAUAAUUUCUUUUGAGAGUUCUUAUCGAAGAUGAUAGUUGUGACCUCGAUGUUGAAUUAAAUUUUUCUUUAGGUGUAGAAGUUUAAAGGGAAGGCCUGUUCGGCCUAUAAAUAUUU
RNAcentral lists this ribosomal RNA (511 nucleotides) under Synalpheus pectiniger. RNAcentral's name for it is "partial 16S ribosomal RNA". It matches the Rfam family "Bacterial large subunit ribosomal RNA", at positions 1823 to 2597 of the family's 2925-position model. The record is from RNAcentral. Lineage: Eukaryota; Metazoa; Arthropoda; Malacostraca; Decapoda; Alpheidae.